RNAcentral lists this ribosomal RNA (258 nucleotides) under uncultured bacterium. RNAcentral's name for it is "partial 16S ribosomal RNA". It matches the Rfam family "Bacterial small subunit ribosomal RNA", at positions 521 to 778 of the family's 1533-position model. The record is from RNAcentral.
UAAGACAGAGGGUGCAAACGUUGCUCGGAAUUACUGGGCGUAAAGCGCGUGUAGGCGGGUCGGAAAGUCGGGCGUGAAAUCCCCAGGCUCAACCUGGGAACUGCACUCGAAACUUCCGGUCUAGAGUGGUGGAGAGGGAAGUGGAAUUCCUGGUGUAGAGGUGAAAUUCGUAGAUAUCAGGAGGAACACCGGUGGCGAAGGCGGCUUCCUGGACACCAACUGACGCUGAGACGCGAAAGCGUGGGGAGCAAACAGGAU